UCCCCAAUGGCUCAGCAGGUAAAGAAUCUGCCUGUAAUGCAGGAGACAUAGGAGUUGCAGGUUCGAUCCCUGGGUGGGGAA
This 81-nucleotide transfer RNA is filed under the name Bos taurus (domestic cattle). It matches the Rfam family "tRNA". From Rfam's summary of the family: Transfer RNA (tRNA) molecules are approximately 80 nucleotides in length. Their secondary structure includes four short double-helical elements and three loops (D, anti-codon, and T loops). The record is from Rfam by way of RNAcentral. RNAcentral also lists the same sequence under 5 other names. Lineage: Eukaryota; Metazoa; Chordata; Mammalia; Artiodactyla; Bovidae.